This is a long non-coding RNA of Triticum aestivum (bread wheat), 3137 nucleotides long. RefSeq lists it as uncharacterized. The transcript is spliced from 3 exons. Lineage: Eukaryota; Viridiplantae; Streptophyta; Magnoliopsida; Poales; Poaceae. The record is from RefSeq and is a predicted model, not a curated record.
GUCAUAGUCAGUUUCCUCAUCUAUCCUUCAUCAUGGCCUCAUAGGUACUAUUAUAUGGCUGUUGCAUUUCAACGUUUUUGCAGAUAGUUCCAUGUUGGACGUCGGCGGGCAGGCGGAGGGCAUGUCCGCGGUCGACCUGGAGGUCGUGUUCGGCUCCAUUGGACGCGUCGCUUUUAUCAUAGGGCUCUUGACCAAGCUGAGCGAAUUAAAUUUCACAGUUCACCGGUAUUGCAAUUCUAUGAUGCGAGUGUCUCCCCAGAAAUGUGAGCCCCAAAGGGCAAUUGGUGAUGAAACCUGUAGCUUAUCAAACAUGGAGCAGUGGAGGGAAUUAAAAGCGUGUGGUAUGGAUCCAUGUGGAAGGGGUGAAGUCUUUUGGGUAGAAAGACGUUUGGGAGACCUUUAUGGAGGGAGCCAGGCAAAAACAGGACACUGCAUUGUGUUUCUGGGUCAUCCUCUAGGUUCUGGUUUGAGACCUACUACUGCAAAGGCAAGCAAAUUAGUUUUGCGGUUCAUCUAAAGUCACACUAUUUAAGUUGUUAAUGCAAAUCCAAGAAUGCUGGCUAUCUAGAUCUUUUUCUUUAUAGAUUAUGUGACACCAAUAAUGGUAUGUCGGUUUUAAUUAGAAUAUAGAGCUGUGAGCGGCACAUCACGGAGGCCAUGCCUCAAACAUGUGUGGGCUGGGCAUACACUUGCAUCUCUAUAGCCAACUAUAACACAAAGAUGUCAUAACAGUUCAACCAGACUUCUUCUCCUGUCAUGAAUCUCAAUCGGCAUUUAUGUAAAAUUAACAUGCCCUUGUCAUAUGCAUCAUCUUUUUCACUCCGGGUGAUUCAAAUUGAAUCUAUUGUGACAACUUUUAUGCCGUGUUAUUAUAAGUAUUUAUGCCAUCUUCUUUUUUAGAAAACAGGUUAGUAGUAUUUCUCAUUUCUUGCCAUUCUUAUUAGGACUUAGCUAACAAUGUGGCAACUGGUUCUAUUACUCGGGUAAAGAGCGCACACACUGGAGUGCAUUUGUUCCUUUAAUCUAGGUAACCUACAACUUGGUCAAACUUCCAAUUUCUUUAACUGAAAGUUUCUUUUUGAAAAAUAAAAAUAUGUUACCUUAUUUGUUGCAACUUAUCUACCCUUUAAUGUGUGGUCCCCUCCCCCCCGCUAGGGUGCGUGGGGGCAUUGUUGGAUCGAUCGCGCGCACGGUUGCUAGGUGUGGUGAGUGUAUUUUGUGUGUGUGCGCGAUGCGAUUUGUGAUGUAUGUAGUGUGUUGGGCGUGUGUGUGCCCCGUGGAGGCCAUGUGCACCUUCAGGGUCAAGAUAGCCAUCUGCCGUCGUGCUCCGCCGCCCCACGCUGCAGGACUGACUCUGAUGACCUGAUCAGAGCAGGUUUGAUCCAAUCUACCUUUUAUUUCCAUGGCCUUCCCAUCUCCACACCUAUCAUUGAUAUUCUGCUUAGUGCAUGUUUUGGGAAGAUCAGGCUACAUGUUGUUCUAUACUUCUUUACCUUUGAAAAGUUGUUACCCUGGUUUUGAUACAUAAUUUAGCAUGGGUAAACUAAUAAAAUUUAAUCUGGUUUAGGUGACAUAAUCAGCUAGAGAAGGACAUGAGCUUGCAUAGUUUUUAGUAGAAGAUGACAUAAAUUGUGGCAUUGGUCACAAUCUAGAAGUUUUUCAGGUGAGUGACAUGGUUUAAUUUGGAGAAGCACUAGGUAGGAUGCAGUCACAUUUUUUAUGGUUCCUGCCUAUUCCUUGUGGUAUUAUCAAUAUUUUCUAAUUGAACUGAAUUUCUAUGUGAUAACCUUCCAAAUCCAAAUCCUACUUCAGAAAGUGUAUAUGAGCAAAGGUCUGCACCUAAACGUUAUCAUAAGCGAGGUCUUAGACAAGGUAAUGUUUUUCUAUUUGAUGAACUGACAUGGCAAUGUUCGAACCUGGAAGUGAUCAAAUCAUAUGCUUUGGUAUGAAAGAGUGUAAAGUAACUAUUGCAUGUACAUCUUAGCUCUAGAUUUUCAGUUUGUGCUUGUCUAAUGUAGAAAUUGUUGUCCAUGAAGCAUGGCCUGAAUGUCGGAAAAUAUCAUUCAUCCUUGUGUUGCAGUAAAAUAUAUCUCUUCAUUACAAAAAAUACUCCCUUUAGAUUUGGGAGCAGUAUAUGCCGAGUAUCUAUACUCACCAGAGUCAACUUUUCCUUUAAGAUAAUUUUAAGAGGUACUGCCUAAGUUCAGCGUGCAAUGUGUCAUAACAAAGUUAUUGUGGUAUAAACAAUACUCUUUGGGAUACUCCAUGGAUAUGUUGGUCGGAUUCCUUUGUUGCUCUGAUAGGAAUUCUCAUCUCGUCAAAGUUUAUUACUCCCUCUGAUCCAUAUUACUUGUCGCAACUUUAUUACAAUGUGUCAUAGCCUAGUUAUUGGGUCAAAAUCAGACUCAACCCAAAAUAUCCUCUUAUGCAUAACCCAAGAAGCAAAAUAUUUGGGACUAACCUAAGGGAAAAGGGGGAUGUAGUCCCAAAUAUUCAUUAUAUGCUUCCCGGUUUCUUUAUUUUAAGCGCAAGAGAUGAACUAUAUUUCCCCUUUUUCUCAACAUAUUAUGCUUCACAAAUGAAUUAGCUAGACAGAUGAUGCACCUGGUGUUGUCUAGGUUAUCCAACACCUAUUGAUAAUGUCAACAAGAUACAAUAUUGUUAUGAAAAAUCCUUAACACACUAAUUCCCCUAUUAUUUGAUUUAGUGACACAUCUCAUGUUGUCGAUAUUAACAAAGGUUUUCUGUUAGUUAUAAGUUUUACUAUGAGACUAGACAUCUAUUGUUUUGAAAACAAUAAACUGAAGCAUAUUUAAUUUGGCUUGAAUGAAGCAGGAUUUUUGAUUCCAUCUGAUUAUCUGCUUUCAUGCGCAGAGCCCACUUGAUCUUGCUAAGCUUCGGGAGAUUGCUGUAAAAACUGUACGAGUAUGCGAACGUGAGAAAUCAAGCUCUCCCAUGGGAAAAUUCCUUGUACCGUUGGAUAUAACCCAAGCAAGCAAUAUGAUUACCAUGCGAAUGAAGCGAAGAACAUUCCUGACGUUGUUGUUCAUGAAUAUCUCAAACGCAUCAAGUAUGUCUUAGUUUGUAACAGAUAAUUAUCAUCGAUCUCUUUGUAUACAUUGUUGAAUUACAUUGCA